AUGUCCAUGAAAGAGCUUGUGGGAAGGCUCAAAACGGCGGAGGACCGGAGCGACUUGGACGAGGGCGCCAGCAACUACGACCAGGGUGGUGGGAGUCGCCUGCUCCUCACGGAGGAGGAGUGGCUUGCUCGCCACCGCAGCGGCACCGGCAAGAAGAAGAGCACCUUCGACAUCCGUAAGGUGCGCUGCUACAACUGCCAAGACUAUGGCCAUUUCGCGAAGGAUUGCACCGCGCCAAGGAAAGAGCAGGCCCAUCUCGCCGCCGCGACUGCCGACGACGAGCCGGGGCUGCUUUGA
RNAcentral lists this ribosomal RNA (297 nucleotides) under Triticum aestivum (bread wheat). RNAcentral's name for it is "partial small subunit ribosomal RNA". Lineage: Eukaryota; Viridiplantae; Streptophyta; Magnoliopsida; Poales; Poaceae. The record is from RNAcentral.